Papaver somniferum (opium poppy) is the source of this 2380-nucleotide long non-coding RNA. RefSeq lists it as uncharacterized. NCBI's taxonomy places the organism in Eukaryota, Viridiplantae, Streptophyta, Magnoliopsida, Ranunculales, Papaveraceae. The transcript has 3 exons. The record is from RefSeq and is a predicted model, not a curated record.
UCUGUCUUUCUCUUUCCUUCGGCUUCGGGGGAUAAGUGUAAAAUUUUGAAAACCUAAACUCCGAAAAUCAGAAAUGAAAGAUUAAUUUGAUUAGGGUAUUUGCAACAACGACUCAUCACCUCCACUAUACUUUCCAUUUCUCCAUAAAAUCAUUUCUUGGUUUAUUUUAUAACAAAACGAACAUAAACCCUAACUUUGAAUUUGUGAAGAAAUUAGUAGCUGAAAAUGUCAAGCAUUCCGGAAGAGAUGUACCAUGAUAUUCUUUUGAGGUUACCAGUUAAAUUAUUGCUGAAAUGUAAGUCUGUUUGCAAGAAUUGGUAUGCCCUAAUAUCUACCUCCGAUUUUGUUAAAUUGCACCUUCAUUUUACUACCCAGAGAAACAACCCUAUUCUCAUGCUUGAAGGUUCUUCUAAUGGGAGUCUUUGCCACGAGUUACUUUACUCCGUUGAUUAUGAUUCAUUAACAUCGUCAGUUUGUGAAAUUAAAGAUGUGGGGUUGAAAUGGAUUACCCAUUCAAAUCUUCAUGUUGUUUUGUUCGAUUGAUGGGAUCUUGUAAUGGUUUGGUUUGCAUGCGGUUGGUUGAUGAUAAUGGUGAUGGUGAUCAGAACUUUUUUUAUCUUUGGAACCCAGCUACGAGAGAAUAUAAAGAAAUACCCAAAUCACCAAUUAAAAUUAAUAGGGUUAGAAUGAGUGCAUUGGGUUAUGAUCACAAUACUGAUGACUACAAGUUGGUAAUAGGUAACAUAGAACCUUCUCAAAAAAAGGGUACUCUGGUGCAAGUUUAUUCGUUAGCAUCAAAUUCAUGGAAACCUGAGCAAAUUGUACCUUAUAAGUUUCCUUAUAUGCCAAAACAUGGAGUGCUUGUUAAUGGGCACUUCCAUUGGUCAGUGGAAGCUGAAGGGAAGUGUUCCUUACUCUCGUUGAGUAUCAGUGACGAGUGUUUUAAAGAAAUGCAACUGCCGAAAGAACUUUUGGAGAAGAGUAAGAAAUGAUGUAUGAUUCUGGGAGUGCUGGAAGGGUUACUUUGCGUACUGGUCACCUCAUAUAUUGAUGAUGCUACACAGUUUGAAGUUUGGGAGAUGCUGGAUUAUGGAGUUAAAGAAUCUUGGGCUAGACGCCAUAUCAUUACUCACGAGAGCAUUAUUGUGGACAAUAUUAUGUUUUUAAGUCUUUUGUGGUCUUUUGAGAAUGGUAAAAUUUUAUUCAUGAGCUCUGGUAACCUAAUUUUGUAUGACCCAGAACAUGGAAGUGCUAGAAAACUAAGUAAGCCUAGUACUUUGACCUGCCUUACCGUAAAUUAUAUUGAAAGCUUAGUUUCUCUCAAGUCUGGUACAUAUGGUGGGGGAGAAAGGAGAAUAGAAGAAUUAAGAGAAACCUGAAGAAGAAUAAGCUUUAGAAGGAAGAAAAACCGGGGGAAUUGAAGGUUCUUAUUGUUGCUGUAUUCCUGAAGUUUUUAGUAAGUUUUUAUUUAUAAAACUAGUAAUAUGUUUUUCUUCUAAUUUUCAGACCAUUAAUGUAUAUCAUGGAUUCCUUAAAAUCAGUAAUAUGUUGUUGUCUCCAAUCUAGAGCAAGAUCAAUUUCAGAUUGUUCUUUUGCAAUUCAUAUCCAAAGAUUAUUUAUUUAUGCUUUCAUGAUUUUGUCCUUCUGCUGUAUUGUUAUGAUUCAUCUGCUUUUGUUAUGCGAUGGUGACAUUGUUUGUGUCUACAGCCAAGAUGGAACUUUAAUGGCAGAUCAUAAAGAGGUUCAAAAGAUUUUAUUUCUAGUAAGUGGAUGGCACGAACUUGCCUAGACAUUACCUUGAAAUCAGAGCUAGGUGACAUGGAACCUGAUGAAAUUGCCUGCACAAAAGCUGCUGAAUUAGCUUUGUUGGCUAUACCUUUUGCUUGAAACGAGGGAGAUCACUUUUGUCCGCUCUCAUACAAAAGACAUGGUUGUGUACAAGUGUGGUCUCUCUUGGUGUCAUUCAAUCUCAAUACCAGUGAAGCAUGGAAUGCUGAAUGCGUAUCUUCUCUCAUUAAUCAUGAAAUGCUGGCAAGAAGACGAUUUAGGUUUAUAUAUUGCAUAGAGGCACAGUUGGGCGCACAAAUUAUUACUUUGGUACUCUGGAGCUGUGAACUGUGAGCUGGAAUCGUCGGAACUUUCACAUGUUGGCAUCCGCGAGUACUGAUCAUACUAUUUUAGUAUGAUUGAAAAUGUGUUCAAUUGAUGCGUAAAGACAAAUAUGAAAAAGGGGGUCGUCCGCAGGUGAACUUUAUAAAUAUCAAUAGGAAAAAAAGAAAGAAAAAGGGAAAAAGAGACGUUAAUUUUCUUGUGUCAGGUAGUUGAAUAUUUCUGCUCGACUCUGUUGGAACUUUGUAAAUGACUAUGGGGUAAUGCCUGC